AGCGAACGCUGGCGGCAGGCCUAACACAUGCAAGUCGAACGGCAGCACCGUAAGAGCCUGCUCUUACGGGUGGCGAGUGGCGGACGGGUGAGGAAUAUACCGGAAUCUACCUUUUCGUGGGGGAUAAUGCAGGGAAACUUACGCUAAUACCGCAUACGACCUACGGGUGAAAGCAGGGGAUCUUUGGACCUUGCGCGAUUGAAUGAGCCGAUGUCGGAUUAGCUAGUUGGCGGGGUAAAGGCCCACCAAGGCGACGAUCCGUAGCUGGUCUGAGAGGAUGAUCAGCCACACUGUAACUGAGACUGAGUCCAGACUCCGGCAGGAAGCAGCAGUGGGGAAUAUUAGGCGAUGGGCGCGAGGCUAAUCCAGCCAUACCGCGUGGGUGAAGAUGGCGUUCGGGUUGGAGAGCCCUUAUGUUGGGAGAGAAGAGCAGCAGGUUAAGACGCCGCUGUACUGACGGUACCCGAAGAAGAAGCACCGGCUAACUUCGUG
RNAcentral lists this ribosomal RNA (492 nucleotides) under uncultured bacterium. RNAcentral's name for it is "partial 16S ribosomal RNA". It matches the Rfam family "Bacterial small subunit ribosomal RNA", at positions 29 to 507 of the family's 1533-position model. The record is from RNAcentral.